CGGUGAUGUUCUGUGAAAUAUGUA
Molecule: non-coding RNA, 24 nt
Filed under: Arabidopsis thaliana (thale cress)
Lineage: Eukaryota; Viridiplantae; Streptophyta; Magnoliopsida; Brassicales; Brassicaceae
Source: RNAcentral